This is a non-coding RNA of Podarcis lilfordi (Lilford's wall lizard), 70 nucleotides long. The record is from the annotation of a GenBank genome assembly. Lineage: Eukaryota; Metazoa; Chordata; Lepidosauria; Squamata; Lacertidae.
GGCCUGAGCUCAGUGGUAGAUCAUCUGCUUUGGAUGCAGAAGGUCCCGAAUUCAGUCCCCAGCAGCAUCU